GGACGAACGCUGGCGGCGUGCCUAACACAUGCAAGUCGAACGAAGAAUGUUUUUCGGAAUAUUCUUAGUGGCGGACGGGUGAGUAACGCGUGAACGAUCUGCCCCGUACAAAGGGAUAACCUCGGGAAACCGGGAUUAAAACCAUAUAACGCUUUAGUACCGCAUGGUAAUAAAGUCAAAUCGAUUAAGAGGUAUGGGAUGAGUUCGCGUCUGAUUAGCUAGUUGGUGAGGUAAGGGCUCACCAAGGCGACGAUCAGUAGCCGGCCUGAGAGGGUGAACGGCCACACUGGAACUGAGACACGGUCCAGACUCCUACGGGAGGCAGCAGUGGGGAAUAUUGCACAAUGGAGGGAACUCUGAUGCAGCGACGCCGCGUGAGUGAAGAAGGUCUUCGGAUCGUAAAACUCUGUCCUUGGUGAAGAAAAGGACGGUAGCCAAGGAGGAAGCCCCGGCUAACUACGUGCCAGCAGCCGCGGUAAUACGUAGGGGGCGAGCGUUGUCCGGAUUUACUGGGCGUAAAGGGUGAGUAGGCGGUUAUAUAUGUCAGGUGUAAAAAGCUAUGGCUUAACCAUAGUAAGCACUUGAAACUGUAUGACUUGAGUGCAGGAGAGGUAAGCGGAAUUCCUAGUGUAGCGGUGAAAUGCGUAGAUAUUAGGAGGAACACCAGUGGCGAAGGCGGCUUACUGGACUGUAACUGACGCUGAGACACGAAAGCGUGGGUAGCAAACAGGAUUAGAUACCCUGGUAGUCCACGCUGUAAACGAUGAGUGCUAGGUGUUGGGUAGCGAUAUUCAGUGCCGGAGUAAACACAAUAAGCACUCCGCCUGGGGAGUACGUACGCAAGUAUGAAACUCAAAGGAAUUGACGGGGACCCGCACAAGCAGCGGAGCAUGUGGUUUAAUUCGAAGCAACGCGAAGAACCUUACCAAGGCUUGACAUCCCCUUGACCAGUGCAGAGAUGUACUCUCUUCUUCGGAAGCAAGGGAGACAGGUGGUGCAUGGUUGUCGUCAGCUCGUGUCGUGAGAUGUUGGGUUAAGUCCCGCAACGAGCGCAACCCUUAUCCUUAGUUGCCAGCAUAUAAGGUGGGCACUCUAAGGAGACUGCCGGUGAUAAACCGGAGGAAGGUGGGGAUGACGUCAAAUCAUCAUGCCCCUUAUGUCUUGGGCUACACACGUGCUACAAUGGUCGGUACAACGGGGAGCGAAGGAGUGAUCCGGAGCAAAUCCCAAUAAACCGAUCCCAGUUCGGAUUGCAGGCUGCAACUCGCCUGCAUGAAGUCGGAGUUGCUAGUAAUCGCGAAUCAGCACGUCGCGGUGAAUGCGUUCCCGGGUCU
This 1334-nucleotide ribosomal RNA is filed under the name uncultured bacterium. Its description in RNAcentral is "bacterial SSU rRNA". It matches the Rfam family "Bacterial small subunit ribosomal RNA", at positions 27 to 1381 of the family's 1533-position model. The record is from RNAcentral.